UUAUCGGAGAGUUUGAUCCUGGCUCAGGACGAACGCUGGCGGCGUGCCUAAUACAUGCAAGUCGAGCGGACAGAUGGGAGCUUGCUCCCUGAUGUUAGCGGCGGACGGGUGAGUAACACGUGGGUAACCUGCCUGUAAGACUGGGAUAACUCCGGGAAACCGGGGCUAAUACCGGAUGGUUGUUUGAACCGCAUGGUUCAGACAUAAAAGGUGGCUUCGGCUACCACUUACAGAUGGACCCGCGGCGCAUUAGCUAGUUGGUGAGGUAACGGCUCACCAAGGCGACGAUGCGUAGCCGACCUGAGAGGGUGAUCGGCCACACUGGGACUGAGACACGGCCCCAGACUCCUACGGGAGGCAGCAGUAGGGAAUCUUCCGCAAUGGACGAAAGUCUGACGGAGCAACGCCGCGUGAGUGAUGAAGGUUUUCGGAUCGUAAAGCUCUGUUGUUAGGGAAGAACAAGUGCCGUUCAAAUAGGGCGGCACCUUGACGGUACCUAACCAGAAAGCCACGGCUAACUACGUGCCAGCAGCCGCGGUAAUACGUAGGUGGCAAGCGUUGUCCGGAAUUAUUGGGCGUAAAGGGCUCGCAGGCGGUUUCUUAAGUCUGAUGUGAAAGCCCCCGGCUCAACCGGGGAGGGUCAUUGGAAACUGGGGAACUUGAGUGCAGAAGAGGAGAGUGGAAUUCCACGUGUAGCGGUGAAAUGCGUAGAGAUGUGGAGGAACACCAGUGGCGAAGGCGACUCUCUGGUCUGUAACUGACGCUGAGGAGCGAAAGCGUGGGGAGCGAACAGGAUUAGAUACCCUGGUAGUCCACGCCGUAAACGAUGAGUGCUAAGUGUUAGGGGGUUUCCGCCCCUUAGUGCUGCAGCUAACGCAUUAAGCACUCCGCCUGGGGAGUACGGUCGCAAGACUGAAACUCAAAGGAAUUGACGGGGGCCCGCACAAGCGGUGGAGCAUGUGGUUUAAUUCGAAGCAACGCGAAGAACCUUACCAGGUCUUGACAUCCUCUGACAAUCCUAGAGAUAGGACGUCCCCUUCGGGGGCAGAGUGACAGGUGGUGCAUGGUUGUCGUCAGCUCGUGUCGUGAGAUGUUGGGUUAAGUCCCGCAACGAGCGCAACCCUUGAUCUUAGUUGCCAGCAUUCAGUUGGGCACUCUAAGGUGACUGCCGGUGACAAACCGGAGGAAGGUGGGGAUGACGUCAAAUCAUCAUGCCCCUUAUGACCUGGGCUACACACGUGCUACAAUGGACAGAACAAAGGGCAGCGAAACCGCGAGGUUAAGCCAAUCCCACAAAUCUGUUCUCAGUUCGGAUCGCAGUCUGCAACUCGACUGCGUGAAGCUGGAAUCGCUAGUAAUCGCGGAUCAGCAUGCCGCGGUGAAUACGUUCCCGAGCCUUGUACACACCGCCCGUCACACCACGAGAGUUUGUAACACCCGAAGUCGGUGAGGUAACCUUUAUGGAGCCAGCCGCCGAAGGUGGGACAGAUGAUUGGGGUGAAGUCGUAACAAGGUAGCCGUAUCGGAAGGUGCGGCUGGAUCACCUCCUUU
This 1551-nucleotide ribosomal RNA is filed under the name Bacillus velezensis. RNAcentral describes it as "bacterial SSU rRNA". It matches the Rfam family "Bacterial small subunit ribosomal RNA". Lineage: Bacteria; Bacillati; Bacillota; Bacilli; Caryophanales; Bacillaceae. The record is from RNAcentral.